UUGGAAUAAGAGGGAAAGAGAGCUUGUAGAAACUGGGCACCAGUCAACAAAAUUAUGUGAGGUGCUGCAUACUCGACCACUGGCACAUCUACCUUCAACAAAAGGAUGCCACCUUGGCAAGGUAUGUAAUAAUCAUCAGACAUUCUUACCUUGUGUGCUCUAGAAGGCUAACUACUUAUUCCUGGAAUUUUAAAACAAUAGCACAUAUUUAUAUACUACAACAUUACUAAGGGGGAAUAUUGUAUGUUGACCAAGAUUCUAUUAACACUAUUAGCUUCUGGUUUAGAUUCAAGGACAAACUCCUGAAUGGGAAAGGAUAGCUAAUGAGGCAGCUAGGACACUUCCAGGAAGAGAGAAUGGAGGAAACUGUGAUAUCAAAAAUCUUAGCAGGGGUUCUAAGAUAUACCUUCCCGUAUUUGUUGAAGGUGCUAAUUUUAGCACAGGAGACAUGCACUUCUCGCAGGGUGAUGGUGAGGUCUCAUUUUGCGGGGCUAUUGAAAUGAGUGGGUUUUUAGAGCUCAGGUGUAUUUCCUAUCUCAUAUACUAAAUAUGUAUAUGCCUUCAGACCCGCACUCAUAAAGUAACUAAAGUCAAAAAAUGAAUUAAAAUAGCCAAUCAUAGUACAGAUAAAGGAUAACACAUAAAUACAUAGUAAAGAACGGGACAUCUAUUAAGUAUCCAGGUUAAAAAUUUUACCAAGUAAUGCUUAGUUUAAUUCCUAAUCGAUUAUGUUAGCAGGAAGCAAAUGACUAGAGCUUAAAGCCUAAGACAUCAAAUAUAUAUCAUAAAUUAAAACAAGUCAUGAGGAUCUUUCUCAAGAAAUGCUCUAUCUUUAUUCUUUAGACAUAGGAGUCUAUAUAAUGUAAACAAGAACACUCUAAGACCUAAACAAGAUACCUCAAAAAAAAAAAAAAAAAAAAANGAAUAUAUGCUUACUCUCCUCAUAUACCAGGUAAAACUUUUUCCUUGUAUAUUCAAUUUUUAUUUUAUUUAUUAACAUGACCAGGUGUAUUCAUAGAUUACACUACUUGGGACAGGGGUGCGGUUUCCAGGUUUGACUCACCCUGGGGUCAUUGGAACUGCGCCUUCAGCUGAGCUCCUUAACAUUUGGAAUAAGAGGGAAAGAGAGCUUGUAGAAACUGGGCACCAGUCAACAAAAUUAUGUGAGGUGCUGCAUACUCGACCACUGGCACAUCUACCUUCAACAAAAGGAUGCCACCUUGGCAAGGUAUGUAAUAAUCAUCAGACAUUCUUACCUUGUGUGCUCUAGAAGGCUAACUACUUAUUCCUGGAAUUUUAAAACAAUAGCACAUAUUUAUAUACUACAACAUUACUAAGG
This 1339-nucleotide long non-coding RNA is filed under the name Daucus carota (carrot). Its description in RNAcentral is "long non-coding RNA (DCAR_LNC005243)". Lineage: Eukaryota; Viridiplantae; Streptophyta; Magnoliopsida; Apiales; Apiaceae. The record is from RNAcentral.